Molecule: long non-coding RNA, 656 nt
Filed under: Ananas comosus (pineapple)
Lineage: Eukaryota; Viridiplantae; Streptophyta; Magnoliopsida; Poales; Bromeliaceae
Description: long non-coding RNA (ACOM_LNC000733)
Source: RNAcentral
CGUGUACCCCUUCUCCACAAGAUCCCAUAGAUCUUGCGAUCGCAGCAUCGUCUUCAUCUUGAUGCACCAGAAAUCAUAGUUCUCCCCUUUGAAAAUGGGAUGAGCAGUUUGGGAUCCGCCGACCCCGCUGAUCGCCAUCGACGUAGCCACCUCUCACGAAUCCUGACGCUCUGAUACCACUUGUUAUGGCGGUAAUCAAUAAAACAAUGAAGCGAAUAAUUUUAUUAAUGUGGAGAAUAAUCAAUAGAUUCGCGGUGCGCUUGUUCUACACAGUCUUAGCCUUUUAUGGUGCAUAUGGAUAACAAAAAAAACAAAAUCUAAACUGACUAACAAAAUCCCUCGUAACAAAUCUAACCAACUAAGAAAUCUUAAUAACAAAUCUAACUAACUAACAAUUUGAUCUUAUCUUCAACAGUUACUUCACUCCUUCUUCUUCUCCACCUUCAUUCUCUUUUUCUUUUUCUUCUUUUCCUUUCCUUCCCUUUCUUUCUUUUUCUCCUUCUUGUCUUCUAGAGAGAGAAAGAGAGGUGAGAGUGUGAGAGGGUGAGAAUGAGAGAAAACACCUCAUAACCCCCUCAACAUAACCCAUAUAUUGCAUUUUUGCAAAUAAAUCCCUCAGCUUUCACUUUAUUAAACUGCCAGAACUGGGCAGAUUU